AAUGCAUGAUAAAACACUGGAAUUGGUAUGAUGAUCGAUUGUGUUUCCUUAAAGCAUGUAUUGCUUAUUUUAUGUAAUUACAGUUAAAUUGGAAAUUAAAGGUAAAUGGAAAAUUAUUUGAUUAAGUAAGUGGAUGAACGGUAGCCUUACUGGAUAUCCUGCGAGAUGGUAGACGAAACGGGUACAUAGGAAACCCUACCAUGAAU
This 206-nucleotide long non-coding RNA is filed under the name Carica papaya (papaya). RNAcentral describes it as "long non-coding RNA (CPAP_LNC016297)". Lineage: Eukaryota; Viridiplantae; Streptophyta; Magnoliopsida; Brassicales; Caricaceae. The record is from RNAcentral.